GAUGAACGCUGGCGGCGUGCUUAACACAUGCAAGUCGAACGGUGAAGCAGGAGCUUGCUCUUGUGGAUCAGUGGCGAACGGGUGAGUAACACGUGAGCAACCUGCCCCUGACUCUGGAUAAGCGCUGGAAACGGCGGCUAAUACUGGUUAUGUGAUGUGACCGCUUGGUCUGCAUCUGGAAAGCAUUUCGGUUGGGGAUGGGCUCGCGGCCUAUCAGCUUGUUGGUGGGGUAAUGGCUCACCAAGGCGUCGACGGGUAGCCGGCCUGAGAGGGUGACCGGCCACACUGGGACUGAGACACGGCCCAGACUCCUACGGGAGGCAGCAGUGGGGAAUAUUGCACAAUGGGCGGAAGCCUGAUGCAGCAACGCCGCGUGAGGGAUGACGGCCUUCGGGUUGUAAACCUCUUUUAGCAGGGAAGAAGCGAAAGUGACGGUACCUGCAGAAAAAGCACCGGCUAACUACGUGCCAGCCGCCGCCGUAA
RNAcentral lists this ribosomal RNA (483 nucleotides) under uncultured bacterium. RNAcentral's name for it is "partial 16S ribosomal RNA". It matches the Rfam family "Bacterial small subunit ribosomal RNA", at positions 28 to 523 of the family's 1533-position model. The record is from RNAcentral.